AUUGAACGCUGGCGGCAGGCCUAACACAUGCAAGUCGAGCGGAUGAGGGGAGCUUGCUUCCUGAUUCAGCGGCGGACGGGUGAGUAAUGCCUAGGAAUCUGCCUGGUAGUGGGGGACAACGUUUCGAAAGGAACGCUAAUACCGCAUACGUCCUACGGGAGAAAGUGGGGGAUCUUCGGACCUAGCGCUAACAGAUGAGCCUAGGUCGGAUUAGCUAGUUGGUGGGGUAAUGGCUCACCAAGGCGACGAUCCGUAACUGGUCUGAGAGGAUGAUCAGUCACACUGGAACUGAGACACGGUCCAGACUCCUACGGGAGGCAGCAGUGGGGAAUAUUGGACAAUGGGCGAAAGCCUGAUCCAGCCAUGCCACGUGUGUGAAGAAGGUCUUCGGAUUGUAAAGCACUUUAAGUUGGGAGGAAGGGCAGUAAGUUAAUACCUUGCUGUUUUGACGUUACCAACAGAAUAAGCACCGGCUAACUUCGUGCCAGCCGCCGCCGUAA
RNAcentral lists this ribosomal RNA (500 nucleotides) under uncultured bacterium. Its description in RNAcentral is "partial 16S ribosomal RNA". It matches the Rfam family "Bacterial small subunit ribosomal RNA", at positions 30 to 523 of the family's 1533-position model. The record is from RNAcentral.